AGCUCUCAAAAUGCAUAGAAUUAUUGCUGCGGUUAAAAAGCUCGUAGUUGGAUUUACGCCGGGCGGGGGUGCAUCCCACGGGCUGUCACUGCCGCCUGGCUUCUGGUCGGGGCAUCUCGCAUGCGCCGACGCGUUUACUUUGAACAAAUCAGAGUGCUCAACACAGGCGUCACGCCUGAAUGUUCGUGCAUGGAAUAAUAGAAGAGGAUUUCAUUCGCUUUUAUUGGUUAUACGAGUGAGAUAAUGGUUAAUAGAGACAAACGGGGGCAUCCGUACCGCUGCGUGAGAGGUGAAAUUCUUGGACCGCAGCGAGACGCACGACAGCGAAAGCACUUGCCAAGCGUGUCUUCA
Molecule: ribosomal RNA, 351 nt
Filed under: uncultured eukaryote
Lineage: Eukaryota
Description: SSU rRNA
Rfam family: Eukaryotic small subunit ribosomal RNA
Source: RNAcentral